This 529-nucleotide ribosomal RNA is filed under the name uncultured Vagococcus sp. Its description in RNAcentral is "bacterial SSU rRNA". It matches the Rfam family "Bacterial small subunit ribosomal RNA", at positions 1 to 507 of the family's 1533-position model. Lineage: Bacteria; Bacillati; Bacillota; Bacilli; Lactobacillales; Enterococcaceae. The record is from RNAcentral.
UAGAGUUUGAUCCUGGCUCAAGGACGAACGCUGGCGGCGUGCCUAAUACAUGCAAGUCGAACGCUUUACUUUUCACCGGAGCUUGCUCCACCGAAAGUAAAGAGUGGCGGACGGGUGAGUAACACGUGGGCAACCUGCCCAACAGAGGGGGAUAACACUUGGAAACAGGUGCUAAUACCGCAUAAUUUGUUUUCCCGCAUGGGAGAAUAAUAAAAGACGCCUUACGGUGUCACUGUUGGAUGGGCCCGCGCUGCAUUAGUUAGUUGGUGGGGUAAUGGCCUACCAAGACCGUGAUGCAUAGCCGACCUGAGAGGGUGAUCGGCCACACUGGGACUGAGACACGGCCCAGACUCCUACGGGAGGCAGCAGUAGGGAAUCUUCGGCAAUGGACGAAAGUCUGACCGAGCAACGCCGCGUGAGUGAAGAAGGUUUUCGGAUCGUAAAACUCUGUUGUUAGAGAAGAAUAAGUGGGAGAGUAACUGUUCCCACCUUGACGGUAUCUAACCAGAAAGCCACGGUUAACUACGUG